This 388-nucleotide ribosomal RNA is filed under the name uncultured bacterium. RNAcentral's name for it is "bacterial SSU rRNA". It matches the Rfam family "Bacterial small subunit ribosomal RNA", at positions 30 to 419 of the family's 1533-position model. The record is from RNAcentral.
CGAACGCUGGCGGCGUGCUUAACACAUGCAAGUCGAGCGGUAAGGCCCUUUCGGGGGUACACGAGCGGCGAACGGGUGAGUAACACGUGGGUGACCUGCCUUUAGCUCUGGGAUAAGCCUGGGAAACUGGGUCUAAUACCGGAUAUGACCCUAUGGCGCAUGUUGUGGGGUGGAAAGCCUUGUGCGGCUAGGGAUGGGCCCGCGGCCUAUCAGCUUGUUGGUGGGGUGAUGGCCUACCAAGGCGACGACGGGUAGCCGGCCUGAGAGGGCGACCGGCCACACUGGGACUGAGACACGGCCCAGACUCCUACGGGAGGCAGCAGUGGGGAAUCUUGCGCAAUGGGCGAAAGCCUGACGCAGCGACGCCGCGUGAGGGAUGACGGCCUGG